GUGAAUCAUCAAAUUUUUGAACGCAAAUUGCACUCUCCUGGGAGAUUAUGCCUGUUUGAGGGUCAGCGUAAAAAAAAUCGACAAAGUUGCUGUUUCGCUGUGACUUUCGGUGGAAAUUGGGUCAUAUUAAACUUUUGGGUUUUAUGCGGCUUAAAAUUUUCUUUACGUUUACACGAACGUGUCUAUGAUCUUACUUCUUACACCUGUUUAAGGUAUCUAUCUUU
RNAcentral lists this unclassified non-coding RNA (224 nucleotides) under Glomus sp. Its description in RNAcentral is "partial contains 5.8S ribosomal RNA and internal transcribed spacer 2". The stretch from base 1 to 65 matches the Rfam family "5.8S ribosomal RNA", at positions 84 to 154 of the family's 154-position model. Lineage: Eukaryota; Fungi; Glomeromycota; Glomeromycetes; Glomerales; Glomeraceae. The record is from RNAcentral.